RNAcentral lists this long non-coding RNA (960 nucleotides) under Mytilus galloprovincialis (Mediterranean mussel). The record is from RNAcentral. Lineage: Eukaryota; Metazoa; Mollusca; Bivalvia; Mytilida; Mytilidae.
UUUAAGGUAUCCGACCCAUAAUAAAGAUUUACGGAAAGUUUUCCGGAGUUUACCGAGGUGUCAAUUUUUUCAACACCUCGGUAUUUUCCGCCUAGUAAGCGAAAGUAUAGUUAUUAUUUUUAAAAUGACGAUUAAAAUAUCAGAAAGGCUUAAUUGAAGUAUAUUUUCAUUAACUAUAGAGUAAACGCUCAUUUUUUCGAAAAAUUGUCCAAUUUUGACAAUCCGGAAACAGAAGUUAUGGUAAACAAAUAUGGACGACCCGGUCGGCUGCCAAGACAGACGAAGGCGUUUUACCAAAAAAAGUACGCCGAUUUAAGUCUCUUCGUCUUAUCGUGAUGCAGAAAUAAUGUGUGCAGUUUGGAUGCAACUGGUUGUCAAAUAUGUUGUACCGGCAUAGGAAGAUUAGUUGAUAGAAGGAAUGUAAACACAUCACGCACUUGUCCUUUUCAUCUGGCGAUCUGCUCUGGGAGACGAUUUGAAUGGAUCGUUCAUUUUUAUGUUUUAAAGUUCUGUAUUCAUAUGUUAAGUGUAUAUCUGGAUGGAAUUGAACCGACUUCCUUAUGGUUCCUAUUACAUGGAGAACCUAGUAAACCAAAGGCCAAGCUGAUGCCAAGCUUCAGUGUAAAACUUUGAGCAGGUGCCAGGUAAUUUGCAUUUACAAAUCCAAACAUUUUAAAACUUGAGUUGGACAACAUUGUCAUGUUAAUUAUGCCCCACUACACCAGCUUGUCUGGCAAAACAGCCGUUAGAUGUCAUAGUAAUCUAAACUAGAUACAUGUAUGAAAAAAAUGAUUAUUUAAAAAAUAAUCCAGGUCUGUCAGUUUAUAUGUUUGUAAUAAUUUAGGAACAAACACCCAAGUCAAGGCAAAAAACAAAUACAAACAUAUUGAUAACAAUUGCAAGAAAGCAUUAAACAAAAGUGCAGUAGAACUAAAUAGGAAAACAUGCAUGCUAUCAGAC